This 45-nucleotide non-coding RNA is filed under the name Schistosoma curassoni. The record is from RNAcentral. Lineage: Eukaryota; Metazoa; Platyhelminthes; Trematoda; Strigeidida; Schistosomatidae.
ACCCGACUGAUGAAUCCCAAAUAGGUCGAAACGCGCGUCCUGUAU